UGAGUAACCUGCCCUUAACUCUGGGAUAAGCCUGGGGAAACUGGGUCUAAUACCGGAUAUGACUCCUCAUCGCAUGGGUGGGGGGUGGAAAGCUUUAUUGUGGUUUUGGAUGGACUCGCGGCCUAUCAGCUUGUUGGUGAGGUAAUGGCUCACCAAGGCGACGACGGGUAGCCGGCCUGAGAGGGUGACCGGCCACACUGGGACUGAGACACGGCCCAGACUCCUACGGGAGGCAG
This 236-nucleotide ribosomal RNA is filed under the name uncultured bacterium. RNAcentral's name for it is "partial 16S ribosomal RNA". It matches the Rfam family "Bacterial small subunit ribosomal RNA", at positions 118 to 351 of the family's 1533-position model. The record is from RNAcentral.